Long non-coding RNA from Mus musculus (house mouse), 300 nucleotides. RefSeq annotates it as predicted gene, 40932. The transcript has 3 exons. The record is from RefSeq and is a predicted model, not a curated record. NCBI's taxonomy places the organism in Eukaryota, Metazoa, Chordata, Mammalia, Rodentia, Muridae.
AUGGCCUUUGCUGGGUGGGCUGCACUGCUAAAACCUUGACUUUGGACUUGAACCUUCCAGUGCUGAAAAGAUCGUUGCUAUUUUUAUGUGACAGAGGAGAAGCCUGGCACCAAGGGCUGGUCUAAGAAAAGCUUAGGAGAUGCCUGAAGUCACCCAUCUGUGAAGGCUUUGGAGUCAGAGCUGCAAUCCACGUUAAUCAAUGGCAAAGUCAAUGCUUUGGGUGAACAUGCAAAAGCCCUUUGAGAACACACAGGAAAGCACCCAUCUAAAGCCCAGAAGAGAACCUUCUCCAGAAACAAA